GACAGAGGUGCCAAGCGUUAGGCGGAAUCACUGGGCUUAAAGCGUGUGUAGGCGGGGCGGUAAGUACCUUGUGAAAGCCCCCGGCUCAACCGGGGAACGGCUGGGUAUACUGGCGAUCUUGAGCCACCUAGGGGCAGUCGGAACAAGUGGUGGAGCGGUGAAAUGCGUAGAUAUCACUUGGAACGCCAAUGGUGAAAACAGACUGCUGGGGGUGUGCUGACGCUGAGACACGAAAGCCAGGGGAGCAAACGGG
RNAcentral lists this ribosomal RNA (253 nucleotides) under uncultured bacterium. Its description in RNAcentral is "partial 16S ribosomal RNA". It matches the Rfam family "Bacterial small subunit ribosomal RNA", at positions 524 to 776 of the family's 1533-position model. The record is from RNAcentral.